This 37-nucleotide non-coding RNA is filed under the name Kamptonema sp. PCC 6506. The record is from RNAcentral. Lineage: Bacteria; Bacillati; Cyanobacteriota; Cyanophyceae; Oscillatoriales; Microcoleaceae.
GUUACAAUUAACCUAAAUCCCUAUCAGGGAUUAAAAC